This 236-nucleotide ribosomal RNA is filed under the name uncultured bacterium. RNAcentral describes it as "partial 16S ribosomal RNA". It matches the Rfam family "Bacterial small subunit ribosomal RNA", at positions 120 to 354 of the family's 1533-position model. The record is from RNAcentral.
AGCAAUCUGCCUUUGGAGUGGGGAAUAACGGCUGGAAACAGCCGCUAAUACCGCAUGAUACAGCUGGGAGGCAUCUCCCUGGCUGUCAAAGAUUUAUCGCUCUGAGAUGAGCUCGCGUCUGAUUAGCUAGUUGGCGGGGUAACGGCCCACCAAGGCGACGAUCAGUAGCCGGACUGAGAGGUUGGCCGGCCACAUUGGGACUGAGACACGGCCCAGACUCCUACGGGAGGCAGCAG